AGAGUUUGAUCCCGGCUCAGAAUCAACGCUGGCGGCGCGCUUAACACAUGCAAGUCGAACGAGAAAGCGGGGGCAACCUCGUGAGUAAAGUGGCGUACGGGUGAGUAACACGUGGAUCAUCUACCUCCGGGUACGGAAUAACGCAGGGAAACCAGCGCUAAUACCGUAUAAGCUUGAGAAAGGAAAGCGGUUUUGUGAAAGCAAAGCCGCGCCGGGAGAGGAGUCCGCGGCCGAUUAGCUAGUUGGUGAGGUAACGGCCCACCAAGGCGAAGAUCGGUAGCCGGCCUGAGAGGGCACACGGCCACACUGGCACUGAAACACGGGCCAGACUCCUACGGGAGGCAGCAGUGGGGAAUCUUGCACAAUGGGGGCAACCCUGAUGCAGCGACGCCGCGUGAGCGAUGAAGCCCUUCGGGGUGUAAAGUUCUUUCGGCAGGGAAGAAACAUGACGGUACCUGCAGAAGCAGCUGCGGCUAACUACGUGCCAGCAGCCGCGGUAAUACGUAGGCAGCGAGCGUUGUUCGGAGUUACUGGGCGUAAAGGGUGUGUAGGCGGUCCUCUAAGUUUGGUGUGAAAUCUCCCGGCUUAACCGGGAGGGUGCGCCGAAAACUGGGGGACUAGAGUGCGGGAGGGGAGAGUGGAAUUCCUGGUGUAGCGGUGAAAUGCGUAGAUAUCAGGAGGAACACCGGUGGUGUAGACGGCUCUCUGGACCGUAACUGACGCUGAGACACGAAAGCGUGGGUAGCAAACAGGAUUAGAUACCCUGGUAGUCCACGCCCUAAACGAUGCAUAUUUGGUGUAGGUCAUUCAGUUGAUCUGUGCCGGAGCUAACGCGUUAAAU
This 841-nucleotide ribosomal RNA is filed under the name Bryobacterales bacterium. RNAcentral describes it as "bacterial SSU rRNA". It matches the Rfam family "Bacterial small subunit ribosomal RNA", at positions 8 to 865 of the family's 1533-position model. The record is from RNAcentral. Lineage: Bacteria; Pseudomonadati; Acidobacteriota; Terriglobia; Bryobacterales.